RNAcentral lists this transfer RNA (72 nucleotides) under Ovis aries (sheep). It matches the Rfam family "tRNA". Rfam says of the family: Transfer RNA (tRNA) molecules are approximately 80 nucleotides in length. Lineage: Eukaryota; Metazoa; Chordata; Mammalia; Artiodactyla; Bovidae. The record is from Rfam by way of RNAcentral.
UCCCUUGUGGCUCAGCGGGUAAAGAAUCUGCCUGCAACGCAGGAGAUCUGGGUUCGAUCCCUGGGUUGGGAA